This is a non-coding RNA of Acanthosepion pharaonis, 98 nucleotides long. The record is from the annotation of a GenBank genome assembly. Lineage: Eukaryota; Metazoa; Mollusca; Cephalopoda; Sepiida; Sepiidae.
GUUGGUACACCAAUUCCCGUACGAUCAACAAAGUUAAACAACGUUGAGCCUGAACAGUACUAGAUGGGUGACCACUUGGGAAUACCAGGUGCUGUAAG